UGGGGAAUACUGCACAAUGGGCGCAAGCCUGAUGCAGCCAUGCCGCGUGUAUGAAGAAGGCCUUCGGGUUGUAAAGUACUUUCAGUCGGGAGGAAGGUGGUAAGGUUAAUAACCUUAUCAAUUGACGUUACCGACAGAAGAAGCACCGGCUAACUCCGUGCCAGCAGCCGCGGUAAUACGGAGGGUGCAAGCGUUAAUCGGAAUUACUGGGCGUAAAGCGCACGCAGGCGGUUUGUUAAGUCAGAUGUGAAAUCCCCGGGCUCAACCUGGGAACUGCAUCUGAUACUGGCAAGCUUGAGUCUCGUAGAGGGGGGUAGAAUUCCAGGUGUAGCGGUGAAAUGCGUAGAGAUCUGGAGGAAUACCGGUGGCGAAGGCGGCCCCCUGGACGAAGACUGACGCUCAGGUGCGAAAGCGUGGGGAGCAAACAGG
RNAcentral lists this ribosomal RNA (429 nucleotides) under Chloroflexota bacterium. RNAcentral describes it as "Chloroflexi bacterium partial 16S ribosomal RNA". It matches the Rfam family "Bacterial small subunit ribosomal RNA", at positions 355 to 776 of the family's 1533-position model. The record is from RNAcentral. Lineage: Bacteria; Bacillati; Chloroflexota.